This 497-nucleotide ribosomal RNA is filed under the name uncultured bacterium. RNAcentral describes it as "partial 16S ribosomal RNA". It matches the Rfam family "Bacterial small subunit ribosomal RNA", at positions 28 to 507 of the family's 1533-position model. The record is from RNAcentral.
GAUGAACGCUGGCGGCGUGCCUAAUACAUGCAAGUCGAGCGAACAGACGAGGAGCUUGCUCCUCUGACGUUAGCGGCGGACGGGUGAGUAACACGUGGAUAACCUACCUAUAAGACUGGGAUAACUUCGGGAAACCGGAGCUAAUACCGGAUAACAUGUUGAACCGCAUGGUUCAACAGUGAAAGACGGUCUUGCUGUCACUUAUAGAUGGAUCCGCGCCGCAUUAGCUAGUUGGUAAGGUAACGGCUUACCAAGGCAACGAUGCGUAGCCGACCUGAGAGGGUGAUCGGCCAAACUGGAACUGAGACACGGUCCAGACUCCUACGGGAGGCAGCAGUAGGGAAUCUUCCGCAAUGGGCGAAAGCCUGACGGAGCAACGCCGCGUGAGUGAAGAAGGUCUUCGGAUCGUAAAACUCUGUUAUUAGGGAAGAACAAAUGUGUAAGUAACUAUGCACGUCUUGACGGUACCUAAUCAGAAAGCCACGGCUAACUACGUG